Molecule: transfer RNA, 74 nt
Filed under: Gemmatimonadota bacterium
Lineage: Bacteria; Pseudomonadati; Gemmatimonadota
Also listed under: 6 other names
Description: Gemmatimonadetes bacterium (beach sand metagenome) tRNA-Pro
Rfam family: tRNA
About the family: Transfer RNA (tRNA) molecules are approximately 80 nucleotides in length. Their secondary structure includes four short double-helical elements and three loops (D, anti-codon, and T loops).
Source: RNAcentral
CGGGGAGUAGCUCAGUCCGGCAGAGCACUGGCUUUGGGAGCCAGGGGCCGCGGGUUCAAAUCCCGCCUCCCCGA